CUUGGAGCUGCAGCAAUGUUCAAAGACUGACACCUUUCAGGUCAAAGCUACCCACUUGACCAGGAAUCUCACCAGUGGAUCAUCAAACUACUGUGUAUCCAACUCACAUUGGAUCGCAUGUGAUUUAUCAUCUGGACCAACGUACCAGGAGGGACCUUGUCAAACACUUUGCCAUAGAAAUGUUGCUACCUGUAUAUUUCUCUUCAAGCUACACACUAUUGGGACUUGAAGAUAAUUACAAAACAAGAGCUAUACCGUGAGAGAGCGGUGGUCAAAAUUCGGGAUUGUGGCCAGCGCUGAUUCUGUCUGUUACAGGAAUGUAAAAAAGACGUGGUCAACAGCACUGAUCGCAUCCUGAUUGGGACAAAACCCAGCACUGCUUCAAGCAGAUGGAGAGUUAUGACAGGAUACACAAAAAGGUGUCCAAAUCUACACUAGCCACGAUGUGCAAUUAGAGUUUCAGAUUUUAACAGAUCGAUAAAACCAUCUAUUAAAGGUAAGUUUUAAUCGAAAAAUAUUUGGACCUUCGAUCUGCUUCAGACUCGCGUUUUCGCUGCUGUACCUGCAAGCUGCUGGAAGGAGAUAUGCACAAGUCAGUAAUAGGAUAUCGAUCAUUUGAGCAGCGGCAUCCUCUGUGGGACGAUUUAAACAAUUACCCAGGCUUCUCCCAGUGCCAAUCACACACUGCAAAGAGCUGUUAUUGAACAACUGUAAUUGUUUUUCAAGAUAUGGCAAGGAGUGUGUGUCAUAUUUAUGAUUUCAGUGCAUUUCACGAUAAGAAUAAAAAGGGAGAAAAUAUUAAAUUACUAUGCACUAAUCAUGAGAUGGUCUGAUGUUUUAAAUGGAACAAAAUAGCUUUUUUGUCUCUCAUUUCAAUACACUCGCACAAUAGAUGUGGUUAUGUAAGCAUCCAAGAAGAUACAUUUUCCGUAGGCUUAACCAUCUCUGCAUUUAAAAAUAUAUAUAAUUGAGUAAAUAGGUUACGUAUCUACCCCUUCAUUAAUUAAUUUAUUGCUUCUUUUGAUCACGACGUGAUUUUCCCCAUGAACAAUGGAAUAAAUGAAGACUUUUUGCCCAUAAAGUUACAAUGCUUCCUUUAGAAGCAGUAGGUCAAUUUCAUAAACUCAAUGAGUUUUAACAGUGGAUCGGUUUAGAAGUACAUAGUAUACGACCUGGGUAUCCGUUAAUCACGUUUCUUUUGGUUGAUAAUUCGGGUAAAGUAACAACGUGGCUGGAUAACAUCAAGGUUUGGACCAAGCUGGACAAGACUAGGGAUGUUGUGGAUAAGUGUCGGGACAGAGCGGUGGAGGGAGACCGUCCGCCAACUGGAAAUUCCCGACGAAAAUUACAAACCAAACAAGUACUAUGUAAGUUGUUUAUAAGUUCCAAUACAAACCCGGUAAGUGGCCUAAUAAAAAAAAUCGAGUAACUUUGGUACAAUCAAAAGGCUAUUGAUGAAAUUGUUUUAUUAUUAUAAGAUCCUGAGGCUGAUUAAAAUAAGACUAUGCAUGAUUUA
This is a long non-coding RNA of Hypanus sabinus (Atlantic stingray), 1516 nucleotides long. RefSeq lists it as uncharacterized. The record is from RefSeq and is a predicted model, not a curated record. The transcript has 4 exons. NCBI's taxonomy places the organism in Eukaryota, Metazoa, Chordata, Chondrichthyes, Myliobatiformes, Dasyatidae.